GAGUUUGAUCCUGGCUCAGAUUGAACGCUGGCGGCAUGCUUUACACAUGCAAGUCGAACGGUAACGCGGGGGGUAACCCCUGGCGACGAGUGGCGAACGGGUGAGUAAUACAUCGGAACAUGUCCUGGAGUGGGGGAUAGCUCGGCGAAAGCCGGAUUAAUACCGCAUACGCUCUGAGGAGGAAAGCGGGGGACUCGUAAGGGCCUCGCGCUGCGGGAGUGGCCGAUGUCGGAUUAGCUAGUUGGUGAGGUAAAGGCUCACCAAGGCGACGAUCCGUAGCUGGUCUGAGAGGAUGAUCAGCCACACUGGGACUGAGACACGGCCCAGACUCCUACGGGAGGCAGCAGUGGGGAAUUUUGGACAAUGGGGGCAACCCUGGUCCAGCCAUGCCGCGUGAGUGAAGAAGGCCUUCGGGUUGUAAAGCUCUUUCGGACGGGACGAAAUGGUUACGGUGAAUAGCUGUGACUGAUGACGGUACCGUAAUAAGAA
This 489-nucleotide ribosomal RNA is filed under the name uncultured beta proteobacterium. Its description in RNAcentral is "bacterial SSU rRNA". It matches the Rfam family "Bacterial small subunit ribosomal RNA", at positions 9 to 489 of the family's 1533-position model. Lineage: Bacteria; Pseudomonadati; Pseudomonadota; Betaproteobacteria. The record is from RNAcentral.